Molecule: transfer RNA, 72 nt
Filed under: Ailuropoda melanoleuca (giant panda)
Lineage: Eukaryota; Metazoa; Chordata; Mammalia; Carnivora; Ursidae
Rfam family: tRNA
About the family: Transfer RNA (tRNA) molecules are approximately 80 nucleotides in length. Their secondary structure includes four short double-helical elements and three loops (D, anti-codon, and T loops).
Source: Rfam by way of RNAcentral
GCCUGGCUGGCUCAGCUGGUGGAACAUGCGACUCUUGAUCUCAGGUCGUGAGUUUGAGCCCCACGUUGGGCA